RNAcentral lists this ribosomal RNA (27 nucleotides) under Anethum foeniculum (fennel). Its description in RNAcentral is "partial 18S ribosomal RNA". The record is from RNAcentral. Lineage: Eukaryota; Viridiplantae; Streptophyta; Magnoliopsida; Apiales; Apiaceae.
UAGGGUGAACCUGCGGAAGGAUCAUUG